This is a long non-coding RNA of Lutra lutra (Eurasian river otter), 149 nucleotides long. RefSeq lists it as uncharacterized. The transcript is spliced from 3 exons. The record is from RefSeq and is a predicted model, not a curated record. NCBI's taxonomy places the organism in Eukaryota, Metazoa, Chordata, Mammalia, Carnivora, Mustelidae.
CCAUGCCAGGAUGGGAGGUGAGGAAUCACAAAAUCCUACUCCUGAAGCAAAGGAAUGAACACUGCAUGGAAACAAAUUGGAAUUGAAGUCAAGGAAGGAAAGAAGAAGACCAUGUUCUACUUCAUGAAGGGUGAGCAAUCGGAGCAGGU